AAAAAAUUCGGACCGUCGGUCCACUGAGCAAUAUCAGUCGCUCGAUGGAGAAUCGUCCCUUUGUCAU
This 67-nucleotide microRNA precursor is filed under the name Bombyx mori (domestic silkworm). RNAcentral describes it as "mir-2774 microRNA precursor family". It matches the Rfam family "mir-2774 microRNA precursor family". The record is from Rfam by way of RNAcentral. Lineage: Eukaryota; Metazoa; Arthropoda; Insecta; Lepidoptera; Bombycidae.